Molecule: ribosomal RNA, 293 nt
Filed under: uncultured bacterium
Lineage: Bacteria
Description: partial 16S ribosomal RNA
Rfam family: Bacterial small subunit ribosomal RNA
Source: RNAcentral
GGAUUAGAUACCCUGGUAGUCCACGCUGUAAACGAUGUCUACUAGUUGUUGGGGAACUUGAUUCCUUAGUAACGAAGCUAACGCGAUAAGUAGACCGCCUGGGGAGUACGGUCGCAAGAUUAAAACUCAAAUGAAUUGGCGGGGGCCCGCACAAGCGGUGGAGCAUGUGGUUUAAUUCGAAGCAACGCGAAGAACCUUACCUACUCUUGACAUCCUGCGAACUUGGUAGAGAUACCUUGGUGCCUUCGGGAACGCAGUGACAGGUGCUGCAUGGCUGUCGUCAGCUCGUGCCG